AUUCAUCAAAGGAUAUUUUGAUAGAUUUAUAUUUGUUUGUAAAAUAACAACAAAAUUAAAUGCAUACAAAAAUUCAGGAUUAUAAAUAAAAUGAAAUAACUCAUUAGAGCGCCAUAGAAAAAUAAUUUUUGAUCAAUCCGCGGAAGUAAAAAAUUCGGUUGUCAUCUGAACGUCACCAAAUAAACUUGGAUAAUUUGAUUUCUCCUCUUUCCCAGAUCAGGCACUCUUUCGUAUAGUGUGAAAUAGAUAGUAAUCACAUAAAGUAAUCGGAUCGGUAUCUUUUUAUAUAGAGUCCAAAUCAACUUUUCAUCAAUAUUUGAUUAAGAUUCUAUUUAAUUUAAAUAGAUGAGAAAAAGAUAAAAUACAUCAUAUCAAACAGUUCUAUAUCUAUUAGAAUUGACUUUUAUUUACAAUAAAUUUAGAUUUAGUACACAUGCCACAUUUAUGAAAAUCCUAACAUAUUCUACUCAAC
RNAcentral lists this long non-coding RNA (472 nucleotides) under Ananas comosus (pineapple). RNAcentral describes it as "long non-coding RNA (ACOM_LNC010785)". Lineage: Eukaryota; Viridiplantae; Streptophyta; Magnoliopsida; Poales; Bromeliaceae. The record is from RNAcentral.